AGUGCACCAGGCGAGAGGCUUCCACAAUGGGGGAAACCCUGAUGGAGCGACGCCGCGUGGGUGAUGAAGGUCUUCGGAUCGUAAAGCCCUUUCAGCAAGGAAGAAUGGACGGGUGCUAAUACCAUCAUGUCCAAGACGGUACUUGCAGAAUAAGCUCCGGCUAACUCCGUGCCAGCAGCCGCGGUAAGACGGAGGGAGCAAGCGUUGUUCGGAUUUACUGGGCGUAAAGGGCGUCUAGGCGGAUUGGUCAGUCAGGUGUGAAACCCCCGGCUCAACCGGGGAUCUGCACUUGAUACUGCCGAUCUUGAGUAUGGAAGAGGAAAGCGGAAUUCCAGGUGUAGCGGUGAAAUGCGUAGAUAUCUGGAAGAACACCGGUGGCGAAGGCGGCUUUCUGGUCCAAUACUGACGCUAAAGCGCGAAAGUGUGGGGAGCAAACAGGAUUAGAUACCCCUGUAC
RNAcentral lists this ribosomal RNA (456 nucleotides) under uncultured bacterium. RNAcentral describes it as "bacterial SSU rRNA". It matches the Rfam family "Bacterial small subunit ribosomal RNA", at positions 345 to 793 of the family's 1533-position model. The record is from RNAcentral.